AGUGUGAAAGUGAGGAACAGCACAGUCCACCUUGAAAAAGAGAAGAUCAAGUCUGGAGUUUCUCUGACUUCGUCUGAAAUUGUAGGGAUGAUCAAUUUGUUUAAGAAACCUUAUAAGAAGAAAGCAGGCAAGUUCCAGCCUUUCAAGAAGUUGUUUGG
Molecule: non-coding RNA, 158 nt
Organism: Tinamus guttatus (white-throated tinamou)
Lineage: Eukaryota; Metazoa; Chordata; Aves; Tinamiformes; Tinamidae
Source: RefSeq, a predicted model, not a curated record